AUUGAACGCUGGCGGCAUGCCUUACACAUGCAAGUCGAACGGCAGCACGGGUGCUUGCACCUGGUGGCGAGUGGCGAACGGGUGAGUAAUACAUCGGAACAUGUCCUGUAGUGGGGGAUAGCCCGGCGAAAGCCGGAUUAAUACCGCAUACGAUCUACGGAUGAAAGCGGGGGGCCUUCGGGCCUCGCGCUAUAGGGUUGGCCGAUGGCUGAUUAGCUAGGUGGUGGGGUAAAGGCCUACCAAGGCGGCUAUCAGUAGCUGGUCUGAGAGGACGAGCAGCCAGACUGGGACUGGGACACGGCCCAGACUGCCACAGGGAGGAGCCGGGGGGAAAUUUGGGCAAUGGGGGAAAAGCUUAUCCAACAAGGCCGCGGGUGUGAAGAAGGCCGUCGGGUUGGAAAGGACUUUUGUCCGGAAAGAAAACCUUGGCCCUUAUAAGGGCGGGGGGAUGACGGUACCGGAAGAAUAAGCACCGGCUAACUACGUG
Molecule: ribosomal RNA, 487 nt
Filed under: uncultured bacterium
Lineage: Bacteria
Description: partial 16S ribosomal RNA
Rfam family: Bacterial small subunit ribosomal RNA
Source: RNAcentral